UUGUCCAUCACCCCUUGCCUUCUCCUGCUCUAUUUCCAAGCUAAGUCCCCUAACUUCUUUGCAGAUUCAAUUACGUUGGCAAAUGGCUUUAACUCAGUCCUCUCAAGUGAGGAUGUUGGUGGUUGUCUUAGCCAUCAUAGUUCUCAUGUCAUCUGCUAGUGCCGCUGUUAUCCCCCAGGAUUUGAUCCUGAAACCUAUUAAUCUGGGACGGAAGCUUCUUGCUAAUUAUUAUAACCCUCCCAACGCAUAUCCUGGUAUACCAAGUGGAUCAGGAGGCUAUCCAUGCUGCAAAUAAGAAGCUAUAAACUCUGCAAAAGAGUUGAGAAGAAAAAGAAUGACAAGAACAAGGGCAAAGACAUUACUGUAUUUGUUUUUAAGUGAAUUGAGUGUAUGGUUAGGAAAAAUAUAUAAGAGAAUAAAAUGAAAGGCACAAACCGUAUUAGUAUCUGUGACUCCAUAUUCAUUCAGUCUAGAUUGCUGUCAAGUGUUAAACCAGAUAGCUCCUUCUUCUUUGCUCUGUUUUUUUUUUUUUUUUGACCAUAUUGUAUUGAUUAAAUGCUUUCAUUAGUAUAUGUCUCAAGGCUUAAUUGUUUUGAGAAACUUUAAAUUGUUGAGUU
Molecule: long non-coding RNA, 617 nt
Organism: Theobroma cacao (cacao)
Lineage: Eukaryota; Viridiplantae; Streptophyta; Magnoliopsida; Malvales; Malvaceae
Source: RefSeq, a predicted model, not a curated record